GAUUUCCUCCCGGCCCCCGCCCUCCCACAGCCCUUUGCAGGACGUGCAACAGGGUUGUGGCUCGUGUGUUCGGUCUCUGCCUGCUGAAACCCCUUAUGGGAGGUGGAGCAUGCAGACGGACGGGUGCAGGAGCCAGGGUGCAAAAGCUGGGGCGCUGGGCUUCCAGCCCCACGGCAGUGUCCAGGGGCAGGAUCCCGUGAUUCCCGGAGCCCAAAUGGGCGUGUGUUACAGUGUGCUCUUUUAGCCUUACCAUCAGCUGACGGCUUAAGUGUUAACCAGCUCAAUAGACCCUCUGCCUUUUUGCAAGCGCAGAGGGUCAGUGUGACAGUUUCUGUAUCUCAGCUCUUGUCUCACCUCCCAGAAGAAUCAGGUCACACAUGGACUUGAAGGAUGACGGGCCUGUCUAAUUGCAGGAAAACAAACUCAGGGCUCCCACUGAUUCUACAUUACGAACACCAGAGACUGGGUAAUUAAUAAAAAGAAGAAAUUGAUCUGGCCUACAGUUCUGGAGCCUUGGAAGUCCGAGAUCAAGGAGCUGCAUCUGAUAAAUACCUGGAGUGGGAUUGCUAGAUCACAUGGAAAACACAGAUCCUGGUGCCGAACAUGAGGACAGGGCAGGCCGAAGGAGAAAGUGGAAGGAGGGGAGCUUCUCUCUCAGCCUCAUCCUUCUGGGCCUGGAUGCUGGAGAGUCAUGAGGUGCUUCAGAGUACUCUGGGUGAGGAGGGAAAGAUGGUGCCCACCACAUGGAGGCCAGCCUAGGUCUUGUAUGAAACCUGUGAGCUAGCUGAAAGCAGAGAACCCAGCAGAGGAUUCUGGGAAGGUCCUGGGGGAUGGCAGAGCCAGCAGAGAGAGGGUAUGGAUCCACCAGGCAUAGGAUGGAACAGAGCACUAUUGACCACAGUGAACUGGGGCAUGGGCAAUCAAUAAACACAUAUUAGAUUAAGCUAUUGAGACUCAGGGAUUUUUAUACAACUGACAUUCCCUAAGAAGCCAUGAUCUUCCUGUCUCAGGAGGUGCAUAAGCAGUGGUUGAAUGUUCAACAGUCAAGAAUGUUAUAAAAAGAGGUUCUUGGGAGAGUGGACCUGAUGGCCAGCAAAAAUCAUAGCUCACAUUUAUUGAGUUAUUAUGGCUCAGGCAUGUGCACAUAUUCUUUUAUUUAAAUCUACAAUAUGCUUUAUCAUGCUCAUUUUAUACAUGAGGAACACAAGGCAUGGAGAGGUUAGAUAACAUGCCUAAGAUCAUGAAGCAAGCAAGGGGGAGAAAAGAUACCCUUCUCACUCCUUCCAGACAGCUCACUUCACCACCACUCCCCACUGUCUCUAAAGCAAAAGUUAUUUGAAGGCUUAGGGACUGGUUUGGUAUUAUCCAUGCAGGGCGGUUUGUUUUGUUUUUCUUUUAAAAUUUCAGCCUAUGCUUAAAAGAUUUCAUGUAAAAAUUCUGUUUUCUAGUUUCUCUUGAAAAUUAAGAAGAUCUGGUAAAACUGGGCUUGAAGACCAUUAUGGUAACAGGCUGCUGAAGCUGAGGAGAGGGCCCCUUCAGAUGGGCAUAAGCACUGCUCCCCCUCCCCAACCCCCCUUUUAGGUUACUAUCAGACUCUGGAAGCUUCUGAAUGUGUGAACCCUGAAAGAGUCCAUCUAAAGCUAAGUUCUCCCCAGGGGUAGAGCCCAAUGCUGGGCAUACAGUAGGG
This 1687-nucleotide long non-coding RNA is filed under the name Homo sapiens (human). RNAcentral's name for it is "HSALNT0089987". The record is from RNAcentral. Lineage: Eukaryota; Metazoa; Chordata; Mammalia; Primates; Hominidae.